UUUUGAGUUUGAUCCUGGCUCAGGACGAACGCUGGCGGCGUGCCUAAUACAUGCAAGUUGAGCGCUGAAGGUUGGUACUUGUACCGACUGGAUGAGCAGCGAACGGGUGAGUAACGCGUGGGGAAUCUGCCUUUGAGCGGGGGACAACAUUUGGAAACGAAUGCUAAUACCGCAUAAAAACUUUAAACACAAGUUUUAAGUUUGAAAGAUGCAAUUGCAUCACUCAAAGAUGAUCCCGCGUUGUAUUAGCUAGUUGGUGAGGUAAAGGCUCACCAAGGCGAUGAUACAUAGCCGACCUGAGAGGGUGAUCGGCCACAUUGGGACUGAGACACGGCCCAAACUCCUACGGGAGGCAGCAGUAGGGAAUCUUCGGCAAUGGACGAAAGUCUGACCGAGCAACGCCGCGUGAGUGAAGAAGGUUUUCGGAUCGUAAAACUCUGUUGGUAGAGAAGAACGUUGGUGAGAGUGGAAAGCUCAUCAAGUGACGGUAACUACCCAGAAAGGGACGGCUAACUACGUGCCAGCAGCCGCGGUAAUACGUAGGUCCCGAGCGUUGUCCGGAUUUAUUGGGCGUAAAGCGAGCGCAGGUGGUUUAUUAAGUCUGGUGUAAAAGGCAGUGGCUCAACCAUUGUAUGCAUUGGAAACUGGUAGACUUGAGUGCAGAGAGAGAUAUUUAGU
This 678-nucleotide ribosomal RNA is filed under the name Lactococcus lactis subsp. lactis. RNAcentral's name for it is "bacterial SSU rRNA". It matches the Rfam family "Bacterial small subunit ribosomal RNA", at positions 1 to 667 of the family's 1533-position model. The record is from RNAcentral. Lineage: Bacteria; Bacillati; Bacillota; Bacilli; Lactobacillales; Streptococcaceae.